CCCUUAGAUGUCCGGGGCCGCACGCGCGCUACACUGAAGGAAUCAGCGUGGCUUUCUCCCUGACCCGAAAGGGUUGGGAAACCCGUUGAAUCUCCUUCGUGAUAGGGAUUGGGGCUUGAAAUUGUUCCCCAUGAACGAGGAAUUCCCAGUAAGCGCGAGUCAUAAGCUCGCGUUGAUUACGUCCCUGCCCUUUGUACACACCGCCCGUCGCUACUACCGAUUGAACGGUUUAGUGAGGGCCUCGGAUUGGUCUCGGCCCGCUCUUUACCGGGCGGCGCCGUUGGUCGAGAAGACGCUCGAAGUUGAUCGUUUAGAGGAAGUAAAAGUCGUAACA
RNAcentral lists this ribosomal RNA (334 nucleotides) under uncultured eukaryote. Its description in RNAcentral is "partial 18S ribosomal RNA". It matches the Rfam family "Eukaryotic small subunit ribosomal RNA", at positions 1470 to 1796 of the family's 1831-position model. The record is from RNAcentral.